ACUCCUACGGGAGGCAGCAGUGGGAAUAUUGCACGAAUGGGCGCAAGCCUGAUGCAGCCAUGCCGCGUGUGUGAAGAAGGCCUUCGGGUUGAUAAGCACUUUCAGUGCGUGAGGAAGGUAGUGUAGUUAAUAGCUGCAUUAUUUGACGUUAGCGACAGAAGAAGCACCGGCUAACUCCGUGCCAGCAGCCGCGGUAAUACGGAGGGUGCGAGCGUUAAUCGGAAUUACUGGGCGUAAAGCGCAUGCAGGUGG
Molecule: ribosomal RNA, 252 nt
Filed under: uncultured bacterium
Lineage: Bacteria
Description: partial 16S ribosomal RNA
Rfam family: Bacterial small subunit ribosomal RNA
Source: RNAcentral